AUUGAACGCUGGCGGCAGGCCUAACACAUGCAAGUCGAGCGGAUGAAGGGAGCUUGCUCCUGGAUUCAGCGGCGGACGGGUGAGUAAUGCCUAGGAAUCUGCCUGGUAGUGGGGGAUAACGUCCGGAAACGGGCGCUAAUCCCGCAUCCGUCCUGAGGGAGAAAGGGGGGGAUCUUCGGACCUCACGCUAUCAGAUGAGCCUAGGUCGGAUUAGCUAGUUGGUGGGGUAAAGGCCUACCAAGGCGACGAUCCGUAACUGGUCUGAGAGGAUGAUCAGUCACACUGGAACUGAGACACGGUCCAGACUCCUACGGGAGGCAGCAGUGGGGAAUAUUGGACAAUGGGCGAAAGCCUGAUCCAGCCAUGCCGCGUGUGUGAAGAAGGUCUUCGGAUUGUAAAGCACUUUAAGUUGGGAGGAAGGGCAGUAAGUUAAUACCUUGCUGUUUUGACGUUACCAACAGAAUAAGCACCGGCUAACUUCGUG
This 484-nucleotide ribosomal RNA is filed under the name uncultured bacterium. Its description in RNAcentral is "partial 16S ribosomal RNA". It matches the Rfam family "Bacterial small subunit ribosomal RNA", at positions 30 to 507 of the family's 1533-position model. The record is from RNAcentral.